Dermacentor albipictus is the source of this 1018-nucleotide long non-coding RNA. RefSeq lists it as uncharacterized. NCBI's taxonomy places the organism in Eukaryota, Metazoa, Arthropoda, Arachnida, Ixodida, Ixodidae. The record is from RefSeq and is a predicted model, not a curated record.
CAAGCAAGCAAGCAAGCAAGCAAGCAAGCAAGCAAGCAAGCAAGCUUCUUGACUGUUUCUGUCCUUUACAAUGGAGCAGUCUUCAACGAACCUACCUUAAGGCGUUCCAGCCUUAAGUGUGCCCUCACCUUUCUUCGGUAUGCCGGGUCCCUCCGCCCCAGGAACGCCGUCCGCGGUACCUCGGUUAGGGAGCCCGCCAGCCUACCACCCUCGCAAGUACCCACCUAACCUUCCAGGGACGGUGUCCAAGCUUCCUCGGCGGCCCUAUGGCAGGACUGUACUGGCAACCUUGUCCAAGCCAUCGACCAGCUGACACAACAGCUCCAGGUUAUGACAAGCGCCUUCGCAUCCGUCGGCGGUUGCGUCCUGCCUGGGAACGAAGUCCACGCUUCCCUUGGCGAGGAUAUCCUCCCAGACAUUAAUUGGACCUCCAAGCCACCAAGGAAGCGGAAAAUCCGGCGAGCUUCCGGCGUCAGCAUUGGAUGGUACCAAGACCCACGUGAUCAAGUGGUGGCGUCACGUUCCUGGCGCUGGACCUGCUGCAGCUCGCCGUGCGAAAUCCUGCGGUGAACAACCACGGCGUCGGACAAACACGCUGACACACACACAAAUAAUUGAGUUUGCCGGAUUCGAAAAUUGAGUUGACCCAUGUUCAAAACCGACCUGGUCCACUCCCAAAAUUGACCUGUCCCACCUAAGAAAUUUGGGCGGCCCGCCCUCAAGAUUGACUUUGCCCAAAUCGAGCACAUAACAAAGUGAAACGUAUCCCAUGGAAGAAGCACAAUGCUUUCGCGUUCGAUGCACGUGAGGAGACUGACGUGCCUCUGUAACUCAUUUUUCUUUUGUCCGGUGCAAUCAUGCAUAAUCAGUGUGUACGUGUCAUAUAAGAUUGGCAGUUUUCGUGGUUUUUGUGAUGUCGCGGGGCGUACAGACGUAGUGGGUGUUGCCUGAAUAUGUUUCUACCAAUCGCGGAGGGCUAGUGGCUCAAAUUCAAUAGAAACAGUUUGGACUACAUUUA